GAUGAACGCUGGCGGCGUGCCUAAUACAUGCAAGUCGAGCGAACAGACGAGGAGCUUGCUCCUCUGACGUUAGCGGCGGACGGGUGAGUAACACGUGGAUAACCUACCUAUAAGACUGGGAUAACUUCGGGAAACCGGAGCUAAUACCGGAUAAUAUAUUGAACCGCAUGGUUCAAUAGUGAAAGACGGUUUUGCUGUCACUUAUAGAUGGAUCCGCGCCGCAUUAGCUAGUUGGUAAGGUAACGGCUUACCAAGGCAACGAUGCGUAGCCGACCUGAGAGGGUGAUCGGCCACACUGGAACUGGACCACGGUCCAGCCUCCUACGGGAGGCAGCAGUAGGGAAUCUUCCGCAAUGGGCGAAAGCCUGACGGAGAAACGCCGCGUGGGUGAUGAAGGUCUUCGGAUCGUAAACCUCUGUUAUUAGGGAAGAACAAAUGUGUAAGUAAAUAUGCACGUCUUGACGGUACCUAAUCAGAAAGCCACGGCUAACUACGUG
This 497-nucleotide ribosomal RNA is filed under the name uncultured bacterium. Its description in RNAcentral is "partial 16S ribosomal RNA". It matches the Rfam family "Bacterial small subunit ribosomal RNA", at positions 28 to 507 of the family's 1533-position model. The record is from RNAcentral.